This 253-nucleotide ribosomal RNA is filed under the name uncultured bacterium. RNAcentral's name for it is "partial 16S ribosomal RNA". It matches the Rfam family "Bacterial small subunit ribosomal RNA", at positions 524 to 776 of the family's 1533-position model. The record is from RNAcentral.
UACGUAGGGUGCGAGCGUUAAUCGGAAUUACUGGGCGUAAAGUGUGCGCAGGUGGCCGCGCAAGUCGAGUGUGAAAUCCCCGAGCUUAACUUGGGAAUUGCGCUCGAAACUACGUGGCUCGAGUGUGGCAGAGGAAGGUGGAAUUCCACGUGUAGCGGUGAAAUGCGUAGAGAUGUGAAGGAACACCGAUGGCGAAGGCAGCCUUCUGGGCCAACACUGACGCUCAUGCACGAAAGCGUGGGGAGCAAACAGG